Molecule: ribosomal RNA, 506 nt
Filed under: uncultured bacterium
Lineage: Bacteria
Description: partial 16S ribosomal RNA
Rfam family: Bacterial small subunit ribosomal RNA
Source: RNAcentral
GAUGAACGCUAGCUACAGGCUUAACACAUGCAAGUCGAGGGGUAACGAGAGGAAAGCUUGCUUUCCUUGUCGACGACCGGCGCACGGGUGAGUAACGCGUAUCCAACCUGCCCCCAACUAGGGAAUAACCUUGCGAAAGUAAGACUGAUACCCUAUAAUUUCCUCAGAUGUCAUCUGACGAGGAAUAAAGAUUUAUCGGUUGUGGAUGGGGAUGCGUCUGAUUAGCUUGUUGGCGGGGUAACGGCCCACCAAGGCAACGAUCAGUAGGGGUUUUGAGAGGAAGGUCCCCAACAUUGGAACUGAGACACGGUCCAAACUCCUACGGGAGGCAGCAGUGAGGAAUAUUGGUCAAUGGGCGGAAGCCUGAACCAGCCAAGUAGCGUGCAGGAUGACGGCCCUAUGGGUUGUAAACUGCUUUUAUACAGGAAUAAAGUUAGCCACGUGUGGUUAUUUGUAGGUACUGUAUGAAUAAGGACCGGCUAAUUCCGUGCCAGCCGCCGCAGUAA